RNAcentral lists this non-coding RNA (49 nucleotides) under uncultured Alloprevotella sp. The record is from RNAcentral. Lineage: Bacteria; Pseudomonadati; Bacteroidota; Bacteroidia; Bacteroidales; Prevotellaceae.
ACCGAGGAUAGAUUUGGCUGCUUGCAACCUCGUAAAAAGAAUGCUAAAA